UACAAUGUUUUGACUCUUAGUGUUAUUUAAAACUUUUUUGUGAUUAAUAUUUUUAUUAUUAGUAGAUGAUAAAACAUGAAUAGUACUUUAUGCUUGACUAAUUUUUUAAAGUUUUUAUACAAAAUUUUCAAAUAAAACGAGUGGUCAAACGUGGAACACGAAAAAAC
This 167-nucleotide microRNA precursor is filed under the name Oryza brachyantha (malo sina). RNAcentral describes it as "MIR812 microRNA precursor family". It matches the Rfam family "MIR812 microRNA precursor family", at positions 27 to 190 of the family's 205-position model. Lineage: Eukaryota; Viridiplantae; Streptophyta; Magnoliopsida; Poales; Poaceae. The record is from Rfam by way of RNAcentral.